RNAcentral lists this ribosomal RNA (402 nucleotides) under Rahnella sp. OOS4. RNAcentral describes it as "bacterial SSU rRNA". It matches the Rfam family "Bacterial small subunit ribosomal RNA", at positions 991 to 1393 of the family's 1533-position model. Lineage: Bacteria; Pseudomonadati; Pseudomonadota; Gammaproteobacteria; Enterobacterales; Yersiniaceae. The record is from RNAcentral.
CGGAAUCGCCGAGAUGGCUUAGUGCCUUCGGGAACCGUGAGACAGGUGCUGCAUGGCUGUCGUCAGCUCGUGUUGUGAAAUGUUGGGUUAAGUCCCGCAACGAGCGCAACCCUUAUCCUUUGUUGCCAGCACGUAAUGGUGGGAACUCAAAGGAGACUGCCGGUGAUAAACCGGAGGAAGGUGGGGAUGACGUCAAGUCAUCAUGGCCCUUACGAGUAGGGCUACACACGUGCUACAAUGGCAUAUACAAAGAGAAGCGAACUCGCGAGAGCAAGCGGACCUCAUAAAGUAUGUCGUAGUCCGGAUUGGAGUCUGCAACUCGACUCCAUGAAGUCGGAAUCGCUAGUAAUCGUAGAUCAGAAUGCUACGGUGAAUACGUUCCCGGGUCUUUUAACACACCGA